GACGAACGCUGGCGGCGUGCCUAAUACAUGCAAGUUGAGCGCUGAAGGUUGGUACUUGUACCAACUGGAUGAGCAGCGAACGGGUGAGUAACGCGUGGGGAAUCUGCCUUUGAGCGGGGGACAACAUUUGGAAACGAAUGCUAAUACCGCAUAAAAACUUUAAACACAAGUUUUAAGUUUGAAAGAUGCAAUUGCAUCACUCAAAGAUGAUCCCGCGUUGUAUUAGCUAGUUGGUGAGGUAAAGGCUCACCAAGGCGAUGAUACAUAGCCGACCUGAGAGGGUGAUCGGCCACAUUGGGACUGAGACACGGCCCAAACUCCUACGGGAGGCAGCAGUAGGGAAUCUUCGGCAAUGGACGAAAGUCUGACCGAGCAACGCCGCGUGAGUGAAGAAGGGUUUCGGAUCGUAAAACUCUGUUGGUAGAGAAGAAAGUUGGUGAGAGUGGAAAGCUCAUCAAGUGACGGUAACUACCCAGAAAGGGACGGCUAACUACGUG
This 497-nucleotide ribosomal RNA is filed under the name uncultured bacterium. Its description in RNAcentral is "partial 16S ribosomal RNA". It matches the Rfam family "Bacterial small subunit ribosomal RNA", at positions 28 to 507 of the family's 1533-position model. The record is from RNAcentral.